RNAcentral lists this ribosomal RNA (253 nucleotides) under uncultured bacterium. RNAcentral's name for it is "partial 16S ribosomal RNA". It matches the Rfam family "Bacterial small subunit ribosomal RNA", at positions 524 to 776 of the family's 1533-position model. The record is from RNAcentral.
UACGUAGGGUGCGAGCGUUAAUCGGAAUUACUGGGCGUAAAGCGUGCGUAGGCGGUUCCUCAAGUCCGUUGUGAAAGCCCCGGGCUCAACCUGGGAAUGGCAGUGGAAACUAGGGGACUGGAAUCUGGCAGAGGGGGGUGGAAUGCCGCGUGUAGCAGUGAAAUGCGUAGAGAUGCGGCGGAACACCGAUGGCGAAGGCGGGUCUCUGGGCCGAUACUGACGCUGAGGAGCGAAAGCGUGGGGAGCGAACAGG